Molecule: transfer RNA, 65 nt
Filed under: Nipponacmea nigrans
Lineage: Eukaryota; Metazoa; Mollusca; Gastropoda; Lottiidae
Description: tRNA-Arg
Source: RNAcentral
UGGCUAGAAACGAUGAAUCGUAGUAGGUUUCGGCCCUUCCUUAGGUGAUAAAUCACCCUGGCCAU